AAUCCUAAGUCUUUCGCUCCUAUCUGACG
This 29-nucleotide non-coding RNA is filed under the name Cricetulus griseus (Chinese hamster). Lineage: Eukaryota; Metazoa; Chordata; Mammalia; Rodentia; Cricetidae. The record is from RNAcentral.